ACGUACACUCCUGCGGGAGGCAGCAGUGGGGAAUCUUGCGCAAUGGGCGAAAGCCUGACGCAGCCAUGCCGCGUGAAUGAUGAAGGUCUUAGGAUUGUAAAAUUCUUUCACCGGGGACGAUAAUGACGGUACCCGGAGAAGAAGCCCCGGCUAACUUCGUGCCAGCAGCCGCGGUAAUACGAAGGGGGCUAGCGUUGCUCGGAAUUACUGGGCGUAAAGGGAGCGUAGGCGGACAUUUAAGUCAGGGGUGAAAUCCCGGGGCUCAACCUCGGAAUUGCCUUUGAUACUGGGUGUCUUGAGUAUGAGAGAGGUGUGUGGAACUCCGAGUGUAGAGGUGAAAUUCGUAGAUAUUCGGAAGAACACCAGUGGCGAAGGCGACACACUGGCUCAUUACUGACGCUGAGGCUCGAAAGCGUGGGGAGCAAACAGGAUUAGAUACCCGAGUAGUCCCAUGA
Molecule: ribosomal RNA, 455 nt
Filed under: uncultured organism
Description: partial 16S ribosomal RNA
Rfam family: Bacterial small subunit ribosomal RNA
Source: RNAcentral